GACGAACGCUGGCGGCGUGCCUAACACAUGCAAGUCGAACGGAACUGUUUUGAAAGAUUUCUUCGGAAUGAAUUUGAUUUAGUUUAGUGGCGGACGGGUGAGUAACGCGUGAGUAACCUGCCUUCAAGAGGGGAAUAACAUUCUGAAAAGAAUGCUAAUACCGCAUGACAUAUCGGAACCACAUGGUUUUGAUAUCAAAGAUUUUAUCGCUUGAAGAUGGACUCGCGUCCGAUUAGUUAGUUGGUGAGGUAACGGCUCACCAAGACCGCGAUCGGUAGCCGGACUGAGAGGUUGAACGGCCACAUUGGGACGGAGACACGGCCCAGACUCCUACGGGAGGCAGCAGUGGGGGAUAGUGCGCAAUGGGGGCAACCCUGACGCAGCAACGCCGCGUGAAGGAUGAAGGUUUUCGGAUUGUAAACUUCUUUUAUUAAGGACGAAAAAUGACGGUACUUAAUGAAUAAGCUCCGGCUAACUACAUG
This 482-nucleotide ribosomal RNA is filed under the name uncultured bacterium. Its description in RNAcentral is "partial 16S ribosomal RNA". It matches the Rfam family "Bacterial small subunit ribosomal RNA", at positions 28 to 507 of the family's 1533-position model. The record is from RNAcentral.